AUCCUUUUGUAGUUCAUGAGCGUAGAUGAGUGGGUGUUCACGCACGUGUGUGAGAUGUGCCACCCUCAAACUGGCACAUUACCCAUCUGACC
This is a small nucleolar RNA of Macaca fascicularis (crab-eating macaque), 92 nucleotides long. The record is from Ensembl. NCBI's taxonomy places the organism in Eukaryota, Metazoa, Chordata, Mammalia, Primates, Cercopithecidae.